This 463-nucleotide ribosomal RNA is filed under the name uncultured bacterium. Its description in RNAcentral is "SSU rRNA". It matches the Rfam family "Bacterial small subunit ribosomal RNA", at positions 26 to 518 of the family's 1533-position model. The record is from RNAcentral.
AGAAUCAACGCUGGCGGCGUGCCUAACACAUGCAAGUCGAACGAGAAAGGGGUAGCAAUACCCUGAGUAAAGUGGCGCACGGGUGAGUAACACGUGACUAACCUACCCUGGAGUGGGGGGAUAACUGAGGGAAACCUUAGCUAAUACCGCAUAAUACCUACGGGUCAAAGGAGCAAUUCGCUUUGGGAGGGGGUCGCGGCCGAUUAGUUAGUUGGCGGGGUAAUGGCCCACCAAGACGAUGAUCGGUAUCCGGCCUGAGAGGGCGCACGGACACACUGGAACUGAAACACGGUCCAGACUCCUACGGGAGGCAGCAGUGGGGAAUUUUGCGCAAUGGGGGAAACCCUGACGCAGCAACGCCGCGUGGAGGAUGAAGUACUUCGGUACGUAAACUCCUUUCGAUCGGGACGAUUAUGACGGUACCGAGAGAAGAAGCCCCGGCUAACUUCGUGCCAGCAGCCGC